CCUACGGGGUGCAGCAGUGAGGAAUAUUGGUCAAUGGACGAGAGUCUGAACCAGCCAAGUAGCGUGAAGGAUGACUGCCCUAUGGGUUGUAAACUUCUUUUAUAUGGGAAUAAAAUGUUCCACGUGUGGGAUUUUGUAUGUACCAUAUGAAUAAGGAUCGGCCAACUCCGUGCCAGCAGCCGCGGUAAUACGGAGGAUCCGAGCGUUAUCCGGAUUUAUUGGGUUUAAAGGGAGCGUAGGUGGAUUGUUAAGUCAGUUGUGAAAGUUUGCGGCUCAACCGUAAAAUUGCAGUUGAAACUGGCAGUCUUGAGUACAGUAGAGGUGGGCGGAAUUCGUGGUGGAGCGGUGAAAUGCUUAGAUAUCACGAAGAACUCCGAUUGCGAAGGCAGUUCACUGGACUGCAACUGACACUGAGGCUCGAAAGUGUGGGUAUCAAACAGGAUUAGAUACCCUUGUAGUC
Molecule: ribosomal RNA, 460 nt
Filed under: uncultured bacterium
Lineage: Bacteria
Description: partial 16S ribosomal RNA
Rfam family: Bacterial small subunit ribosomal RNA
Source: RNAcentral